RNAcentral lists this long non-coding RNA (962 nucleotides) under Mytilus galloprovincialis (Mediterranean mussel). The record is from RNAcentral. Lineage: Eukaryota; Metazoa; Mollusca; Bivalvia; Mytilida; Mytilidae.
UUGGGGACGGUGUCAAAACAUUGAUUAUAGAUAAAAAUUAAAUCAUGUGCGUCUUGGUGAAUUCAAAUCACAUUUACGUAACAUCCUAAUAUUAUGCUUUUGUGAUAUUGUUGACUAUCAUACGACUUGAAAGUUGUACGCGUGCAAUAGUGGGUGGGAUAGAAAAAGGGGGGCUGAGAGUUGUACAAGUUCAUUCGAUUCUAGAUUGAUUAUAUAUACAUAGUAAGCCAGUUAGAUAAUAAUUGUAUUGUUGUAUUACAGUUCAUGAAAAAGUUUAAUGUAUGGCUUUAUUAAUCCCACACAACGCUCUAUUGUCUGAUUGAUUUCUUCUCUCGGGUGUCUCCAUAAGCUUCCAUUGACUCUGAAAGUUUUGAAGCGCCUUAUAUCGUGUUCGACAUAUACCCGCCACUCUGAUAUACGCAAAUUCAUUUUUUUUUUACAUUUUCUUCUUUCUGCUCGUCGUUUAGCUCUUAGUUGAUGCCUUUUUUAAAUCUAAUCCUAUCCCCCUCCCUCUCCCUAAAAAAACCAACUGGUUAGUACACAUCUAUAAAAACGCCAUAAUAAUUAUUUUAGGAAACCCCUAGCAUUGUUAGCUUAUAUAGAGGAAAGACCCAUCGGCCAUCGGUGUUAAUUUUCCUAUUGUCAUUUUCUUAUGAAACGGUUGGCGAAUUUCAACCAAACUUUCCAGGAAUUUGUAAAAUACAAAAUAUCUGCAUAAGGUGGUGUUAAGGUGUAAAUGCAAAGUCAUUAUGUAAUGCUUUUGAAACUCUGCGGGAAUGUUCAACUGAUGAGUAGUGAGUCAUAUUUUACACAAACCUCUUAUCGUUCUAAACAGGCAUUAAAUAUUUGCCACUGAACGUUAUGCAACCAAUAAUCAAUCAAUCACAAACACCUUAUAAAGAAAAUACAAAUUGAGCUGAAACUGUUUAAAUUAAGACAAAGUUGGAAGGAAAUAAAGGAAG